This 337-nucleotide unclassified non-coding RNA is filed under the name soil metagenome. RNAcentral describes it as "partial contains 5.8S ribosomal RNA, internal transcribed spacer 2, and large subunit ribosomal RNA". The stretch from base 1 to 120 matches the Rfam family "5.8S ribosomal RNA", at positions 35 to 154 of the family's 154-position model. The record is from RNAcentral.
GAUGAAGAACGUAGCGAAAUGCGAUAAGUAAUGUGAAUUGCAGAAUUCAGUGAAUCAUCGAAUCUUUGAACGCACAUUGCGCCCGCCAGUAUUCUGGCGGGCAUGCCUGUUCGAGCGUCAUUUCAACCAUCAAGCCCCCGGCUUGUGUUGGGGACCUGCGGCUGCCGCAGGCCCUGAAAACCAGUGGCGGGCUCGCUAGUCACUCCGAGCGUAGUAGAUUUUAUCUCGCUCAGGGCGUGCUGCGGGUUCCGGCCGUUAAAAAGCCUUUUUUACCCAAGGUUGACCUCGGAUCAGGUAGGAAUACCCGCUGAACUUAAGCAUAUCAAUAAGCGGAGGA